Molecule: non-coding RNA, 4705 nt
Organism: Microcebus murinus (gray mouse lemur)
Lineage: Eukaryota; Metazoa; Chordata; Mammalia; Primates; Cheirogaleidae
Source: RefSeq, a predicted model, not a curated record
CUCAUACCUCAGCCUCCCAAAGUGCUGGGAUUACAGGCGUGAGCCACUGCACCCAACCUGUAGUUGGUUUUAAGGGGCAUGUGUUAAUCACUUCAUGCAUGAAACAUCCAAUUUGGAGAGUCAGAGACAAAAAUUUCCCUCUUGGGAUCAGAUGAUCCCAAUACUGAGAGGGACCUCAGAGGUCAUGGAGUGCCACCCACCUAGAUGCCAGGGUCCUUCAGCUCUGCUCUGACAGGCAGCUGCCAAGCCUGGUCUUAUAGACUCACAGCUGCAAAAAACUGGCCAACUACUGAGGGUUCCUACCUUCACUGUAGGGAAGAGAUGAGAGGAGCAGACAGGGAAGACAGAAGGAGGCCAUGGCUCUCCUGAGCUCCUUGUAGUCCUCCAAGUCUCUCACGUGCACACACAGGGGCCUCUCCAAUGCCAGGCCUGAAAGGCUGCCAGCUCAUCCAGGCCCAGCUGGGGAAUCUGGCCUUUUUCCGGUCUAAAGUUACAGAAUUUUCCAAAAGUUUCCCUGGGUUUUUUUCUGGACUUAUAAACCAGAUUUCCCAUGUCCCCCACAAGAGAAAGAAAGCAGGAAGGGCCUGUGAUCCCAGCCAAGACUUGCUUCUGCCUUUCCUUCCUGCUUUUCCUUCCCACACAAGACCCAGGAACCAAUAGUAACAGUAAUUUCAAUAUUCAGCCUUUGUUGCCCAUGCAGAGCCUCUUAAAUGGAUUAGCUUAGCUUAUGUGAAGCUCCUAGUGAUAGCUUUGUGGGCAAUAUACCAUUCUUUCUAAUUUUCAUUUCCAUUUUACAGUCCAGAGGGGUCAAUUGAUUUCUUGAGGUCACAGCAGAAGUAGGUUUUGACCCAAGUUUUUCUAACUUUGGAGCCCUUGCUCUUAACCUGUGUUUCCCCAAGAGGUCCCAGUUUUCCUCUCCUCAUUCUUCCCAGGUCCAAACUGUAGGUGGGCAGCCUGAAAAGAGGGGUGUGUUGUGUGCUUGGAACAGGAAGGAGCAUCUUGUCAUGGCAGGACGAGUCAAGUAGCUUCUGUUUUUAUUCUGCCGCUGGGCAGCUGUGUUGCAAUCUCUCUGGAUCUCCGUGUCCUUGCCUGUAAUCUGAGUGGAUGAGACAAGUCUAUGUUCUCAGUCUCUAGGUAAGAUAAUCUCUGAGACCCUUUCUAGUUCCAGGACCCUGGGUCUGAGUAGGCUGAGAUUACUUAUUUGGGAGAGAUAACAUAUUCAGCCCCUUGCUUGGAACCCACAAAUUCAGCAUCUCAGAGAAGGGCAGUGUCGUGACUCAAUAUUUGGAUUCAACUUAGGAAUCCUGACUGCCCUUGGAGGUGAAGCCUCUACAAGGGACCUGGCUGUGGGGCCCUGACCCUUCUGCCCAGCGCCUGUGAAUGGCCGCAGUGUGCAGUGAUGGUGUUGGCAGGGUUGGUUUCUCCUGACGCCUCCCUCCUUGGCUUGUAGAUGAGUUUAGGGAGACAGCUCAGUACACAGCACAGCAGCCAUUGCUGAGGGGGAUACUUUAGUGCCACAAAGAGCAGCUUACAUUGAGCACUUCCAGUGAGCCAGGCAUGGCGCUGUGCGCUCUACCUCUGCAACCUCAGGAAGCCCCUGCACUGGUUCCAUGAAGGAGCUAUUUUAGAGAUGAGGAAGUCAAGCUGUGCCAGUUGCCUGCGGACAUGCGGCUGGAAAGUGAGGAGCAGAUGUGCACACAGCCUUACCCACCGUGCCGUGGUGCCGCCUAAGGAGAGAGGAGGCAGGGCUCAGGGCCCGUUAGUCUGUUUUUCCGGAGUCCUGACAGGCAUGAGGAACAGCCCUUUCUAUGCUAUUGGGACUACAGUUUGGGAGAGACACAGGAAAGGAAAAGCAAAGAAACAGGAUCCACAUGUCCCCAUUACAUGUGAAGACUGGAGUUCCAAGCUGGACACGUAGUGGCCUUGACUUGGGAGUUGCCAGUGGCCAGUGCCUGAAUGUGGGGAGCCUCCCAGGCUGGCUUAGGAGUUGCCCUGAGGAUGGGGGAAGGUGGACACAGGCGUUCCCCGAGCUGGGCUGUCCACCAAAGAUGGAGCUAAAGACCAAGGACUCGGGGAGUGAAUGACCUGGCAAACACCCCCAGCCAAGGCCCCUGGAAGGUGCCAGGGAAGGCACAGCAUCGUCAGUGGCUUCUCAGGACCCUGUGACAGCUCCUGAAGGGCCAUCAAUUCUUGAGGAGUGUGGGGUAGUUUGAAGGUACUGGCAUGCAGCCAGGGCUCUUCAGUUCUUUGUUUGGGGGCCAGAAGCCCAGGAUCCUGGGGCUAAGGGAACCCCCCCAGAUCCCUAAAAUGGGGGUCUGGGGUAGGGAAGGGUGGGGUCGUCAUGUCAAAAGUUCUUUUCUACUCAUCCUCCUAAGCACCAGCGUCACUCAUCCUGGGCGAUUUAGCUGCCAUUAGCAGCUGCUGUUUGGUGCGGAGCAAAGGGAAGGGAAGGUCAGGGUAGGAAGGAGAGCAGAGGGGACACCAUGGGCUUUGUUCCCCAAUGCCCACUCCUGGGGGGGGGGCAGGGACGGCAGGGGCCCCACACCCUGUCUGGCAGGCAGUCCUGUGUCUGAGGCAGGGGAUCAAGUUGUCCUCACCUCCCCUAGCAUGAGCGAGGCCUGGGGAGCUGUGACAAGAGCUGUCAGUGCUGGUGUCCUCUCGCAGCAAUUGCUGCAAAGGCCAGCAGCUCCAGAGUUCUGGGAAAGACUGGACAAGAGAGCAGGGUCUAGGGCCGCUGUGGGGAGUGGGGCAGAUGGGAAUGGGACACCUUGGCGUGCACCUGAUCAGUGGUGGUCACACACUGCCUCCUGUUGGAGGGGCUCUGUCCCCGUGCUGUUUCCCUGGCCCAGAUGCUGUGCAACUCGGGGGCCAGGGCCACACUGAGCAGCACACCGUGUGUUGGCCUCCAGCACCUGCUCAGGGCCAGGUACUAGGUGCCCCAGAAAGCUCAUCCUGGAGGGGGUGGAACUUCAAGGUGAAGCACGUGACACACAUAUCUUGGCAUUGGUCUGCUGCCUGCUCUCCUGUCUUCUAUAGCUGGGCCCCAGAGAAACAGAAAGCACCUUAGACCUGGCCUUCCCUGGCCCCCAAGUCCUCCUGGGCCAUAUGGCCUGGAAACCCUAUCCAAGCGGGGCCCUUACUGGGGCUGAGUUUCUGUCUGGCAAGGAAGUUCUGGAGACCAGGAUUCUAGACUCUGGAUGCCUGCUCAGCUCACUCUAAAACCCUUAGGUCAGGUAACUGCAGUGGCAUGGUGGGGCCCGGUGACAGCUGUGGCACCUGCGAACAGCCGUCUCUCCCAGGCGUGCUGACUUGUUAGCUGUAUGUGGGCACUAUCUAUCUCAGCAGUAAAACACCACUUCUGGAACUGUUCUCUGCUUCCUCUAAUUGCCUCAUUAUUUUCUAAAGAAAAGCCCCCAUCACCAGUUCACCACUCCUGCCCCUUCCCUCAGGCCUGUCCUGAAAUCAGUCAACUGGGCUCCAGGCCAGGCUUGGGAUGCUGUGGAAGGGGCAUCCCUUGAAAAGGGUGAAGCUCCAUGUGCACCUGGCAGCUGGAGCUCAGGGUCCUGUAAGUGCCUCGGAGAACUCAGGGUGUCCCUUGGGAUUCAGCGAAACUUGGACAUCUCCUCCUGUCAGUGCCCAACAUGGUCUGAAACUAGGGGGACAUAAAAGGAGCAGAAAAUACAGUUCCUGCACCCAACGGCCUACAGACUAGUUGGAAAGACAAAAAAGGGAGAACCGAUCAGGUGGGUGUGGCCUACAAUGCUGGCUGCAUCCCAUGUGUCACCCACUGUCCUGUCAGCCUACCCCUGUGAGCUCCGGCACAGUGCUGGGCAGGAUGGGUGCCAAGAUGGAGCCACAGCCCUUCCUGUAGCACCUGACAAGCGAGUCCGUGCUUCAGCCACGUCAUAGGAGAGGCACGAGGGCUAGGAGACCACUAAGGAAGUGCAGACACAGGCUGGGGGUGAGGGACUUAAGGGAGGUGUAAAAGUGUCCAGGUGGAGAGAAGGGCAAGGUGCCCCAGAAGAAAGGGCAGCAUGGUCUACAGAUGGGUCUGCAAGUAGAUUGGUGUUCCUGCAGUGUGGAGUCAGGGCAGGGACACAGCAGGAGAGGCAGGAAGGACCUGGCAGGCCAGGCUGGGGAGCUUAGACUCUGACCUGCAGGGGAGGGAGUGCGAGAGGGCAAAGGUCAGGGAGGGGAGGGGCCAGAGCAGGCGGAUGGGGGUCAGAGCUGUGGGACACUGGAGGCCUUAGUCCCCUUGAUAAAGCUCUCAGCUGGUGGCUAAAGAACCAGUCUUCAAGCAGCAGGCACGUUACCUCUGUCAGAACACCCAGAUCUUCCCAUCUUCUGUCUUCUUGACUCCAAGGCCUCCACUGAGCCCAGCCGUGUCCCAUGCAGGCCUGGAAGGAGCCUGGGAGGGCCUGUUUGGCUGGAGGAGGUGGAGGUGGCCUGGGAGGAAGAGGAAGAACCUUCCAGGCAGAAGAAAUGACUCCUGAGAAGGCCCCAAGAAGGAAGGGGCAUGGACUUGGUCUCUUGCCUUUUGUUGGGGACCUCUGAACAUAAAACAAUCCUUGGAACCAACAGGCCCUUGGUAGUUCCUCUCAUCCACUGCCUUGUCCUUAGGGAGUACUUGGUCUACAUUGUUCUUGUCAUAAGAGAAACUUUCCUGUGUUUGAAGCAUAUUAAAGAAGAAAAUCCUACAACUUCA